GCCCACAUAGCUUAACCACAAAGCAUGGCACUGAAGAUGCCAAGAUGGUGCCAAUCCACCUGCGGGCA
RNAcentral lists this transfer RNA (68 nucleotides) under Arborophila torqueola (hill partridge). RNAcentral describes it as "tRNA-Phe". It matches the Rfam family "tRNA". From Rfam's summary of the family: Transfer RNA (tRNA) molecules are approximately 80 nucleotides in length. Lineage: Eukaryota; Metazoa; Chordata; Aves; Galliformes; Phasianidae. The record is from RNAcentral.